GGAGGAAAAGAAACCAACAGGGAUUGCCUCAGUAACGGCGAGUGAAGCGGCAACAGCUCAAAUUUGAAAUCUGGCGCAAGCCCGAGUUGUAAUUUGUAGAGGAUGCUUCUGGGUCGCGGCCGGUCUAAGUUCCUUGGAACAGGACGUCACAGAGGGUGAGAAUCCCGUAUGUGAUCGGCUUGCACCCUCCACGUAGCUCCUUCGACGAGUCGAGUUGUUUGGGAAUGCAGCUCUAAAUGGGAGGUAAAUGUCUUCUAAAGCUAAAUACCGGCCAGAGACCGAUAGCGCACAAGUAGAGUGAUCGAAAGAUGAAAAGCACUUUGGAAAGAGAGUUAAAAAGCACGUGAAAUUGUUGAAAGGGAAGCGCAUGCAACCAGACUUGUCGGCGGUGUUCCGCCGGUCUUCUGACCGGUCUACUCGCCGCCGACAGGCCAGCAUCGUCUGGGCGCGCCGGAGAAAGGCGCCGGGAAUGUAGCUCCUCGGAGUGUUAUAGCCCGGCGCACAAUACGGCGCCGCCCGGGCGAGGUCCGCGCUUCGGCUAGGAUGCUGGCGUAAUGGUUGCCUGCGACCCGUCUUGAAACACGGACCAAGGAGUCGACCAUCUGUGCGAGUGUUCGGGUGUCAAACCCCUACGCGUAAUGAAAGUGAACGGAGGUGGGAACGCAAGUGCACCAUCGACCGAUCCUGAUGUCCUCGGAUGGAUUUGAGUAAGAGCAUAGCUGGUCGGACCCGAAAGAUGGUGAACUAUGCCUGAAUAGGGUGAAGCCAGAGGAAACUCUGGUGGAGGCUCGCAGCGGUUCUGACGUGCAAAUCGAUCGUCAAAUUUGGGUAUAGGGGCGAAAGACUAAUCGAACCAU
RNAcentral lists this ribosomal RNA (857 nucleotides) under Devriesia thermodurans. Its description in RNAcentral is "eukaryotic LSU rRNA". It matches the Rfam family "Eukaryotic large subunit ribosomal RNA", at positions 52 to 943 of the family's 3401-position model. The record is from RNAcentral. Lineage: Eukaryota; Fungi; Ascomycota; Dothideomycetes; Mycosphaerellales; Teratosphaeriaceae.